GAUGAACGCUAGCGGCAGGCCUAAUACAUGCAAGUCGAACGGAUAUAUGUUUUUCGGAAUAUAUAUUAGUGGCGCACGGGUGAGUAACACGUACAUAACUUGCCCUCAAGCGGGGGAUAGCCUUGGGAAACUGAGAGUAAUACCCCAUAGAAUUAUUGGACGGCAUCGUUUGAUAAUUAAAACUACGGUGUUUGGGGAUAGAUGUGCGUCUGAUUAGCUAGUUGGUGAGGUAACUGCUCACCAAGGCGACGAUCAGUAGGGGGCGUGAGAGCGUGGCCCCCCACACGGGUACUGAGACACGGACCCGACUCCUACGGGAGGCAGCAGUAAGGAAUAUUGGUCAAUGGAGGGAACUCUGAACCAGCCAUGCCGCGUGAAGGAUGACGGCCCUCUGGGUUGUAAACUUCUUUUGGAUGGGGACGAAAAAACGGGNUUUAUCCUGGACUGACGGUACCAUCAGAAUAAGCACCGGCUAACUCCGUG
RNAcentral lists this ribosomal RNA (483 nucleotides) under uncultured bacterium. RNAcentral describes it as "bacterial SSU rRNA". It matches the Rfam family "Bacterial small subunit ribosomal RNA", at positions 28 to 507 of the family's 1533-position model. The record is from RNAcentral.